RNAcentral lists this ribosomal RNA (305 nucleotides) under uncultured bacterium. RNAcentral's name for it is "bacterial SSU rRNA". It matches the Rfam family "Bacterial small subunit ribosomal RNA", at positions 333 to 634 of the family's 1533-position model. The record is from RNAcentral.
GUGUUCCUACGGGGGGCAGCAGUGAGGAAUAUUGGUCAAUGGGCUUACGCCUGAACCAGCCACGUCGCGUGAGGGAAGACUGCCCUAUGGGUUGUAAACCUCUUUUGUCAGGGAGCAACGCCGGCUACGUGUAGCCGGACUGAGAGUACCUGAAGAAAAAGCAUCGGCUAACUCCGUGCCAGCAGCCGCGGUAAUACGUAGGGGGCAAGCGUUAUCCGGAUUCACUGGGUGUAAAGGGAGCGUAGACGGCCAUGCAAGCCUGGAGUGAAAGCCCGGGGCCCAACCCCGGGACUGCUCUGGGAACU